Molecule: ribosomal RNA, 434 nt
Filed under: Bactrocera quadrisetosa
Lineage: Eukaryota; Metazoa; Arthropoda; Insecta; Diptera; Tephritidae
Description: partial 12S ribosomal RNA
Source: RNAcentral
UAAACUAGGAUUAGAUACCCUAUUAUUUGAAAUGUAAUUUUAAUCACUAAGGUAGUAGUAGUUAUGUUCUUGAAACUUAAAAAAUUUGGCGGUAUUUUAGUCUAUUCAGAGGAACCUGUCCUGUAAUUGAUAAUCCACGAUGUACCUCACUUAAAUUUGUUUUUCAGUUUAUAUACCGUCGUUAUCAGAAUAUUUUAUUAGAAUAAUAAUUUUCUAUAAUUUUUAUAAGAAUUUAUAUCAGAUCAAGGUGUAGCUUAUGUUUAAGUAGAGAUGGGUUACAAUAAAUUUAUUUAAACGGAUCUAAUUUUGAAAUUUUUAGUGAAGGUGGAUUUGAUAGUAAAAUUUUAAAGAUUGUUAAUUUGAUUUUAGCUCUAGAAUAUGCACACAUCGCCCGUCGCUCUUGCUAUUAAGGUAAGAUAAGUCGUAACAUAGUA